UACGAAGGGAGCUAGCGUUGUUCGGAAUCACUGGGCGUAAAGCGCACGUAGGCGGACGUGUCAGUCAGGGGUGAAAUCCCGGAGCUCAACUUCGGAACUGCCUUUGAUACAGCACGUCUUGAGUCCGGAAGAGGUGGGUGGAAUUCCUAGUGUAGAGGUGAAAUUCGUAGAGAUGUGGAGGAACACCAGUGGCGAAGGCGACUCUUUGGCCUGUAACUGACGCUGAGGCGCGAAAGCGUGGGGAGCAAACAGG
This 253-nucleotide ribosomal RNA is filed under the name uncultured bacterium. Its description in RNAcentral is "partial 16S ribosomal RNA". It matches the Rfam family "Bacterial small subunit ribosomal RNA", at positions 524 to 776 of the family's 1533-position model. The record is from RNAcentral.